GAUGAACGCUGGCGGCGUGCCUAAUACAUGCAAGUCGAGCGAACGGACGAGAAGCUUGCUUCUCUGAUGUUAGCGGCGGACGGGUGUGUAACACGUGGAUAACCUCCCUAUCAGACUGGGAUCACUUCGGGAAACCGGAGCUUAUACCGGAUGAUAUUUUGAACCACAUGGUUCAAAAGUGAAAUACGGUCUUGCUGUCACUUAUAGAUGGAUCCGCGCUGCAUUAGCUAGUUGGUAAGGUCACGGCUUACCAAGGCAACGAUGCAUAGCCGACCUGAGAGAGUGAUCGCCCACACUAGAAGUGAGACACGGUCCAGACGCCUACGGGAGGCAGCAGUAGGGAAUGUGCGGCAAUAGGCGAAAGCCUGACGGAGCAACGCCGCGUGAGUGAUGAAGGUCUUCGGAUCGUAAAACUCUGUUAUUAGGGAAGAACAUAUGUGUAAGGAACUGUGCACAUCUUGACGGUACCUAAUAAGAAAGCAACGGCUAACUACGUG
Molecule: ribosomal RNA, 497 nt
Filed under: uncultured bacterium
Lineage: Bacteria
Description: partial 16S ribosomal RNA
Rfam family: Bacterial small subunit ribosomal RNA
Source: RNAcentral